This 162-nucleotide ribosomal RNA is filed under the name Rhodofomes roseus. Its description in RNAcentral is "Fomitopsis rosea 5.8S ribosomal RNA". It matches the Rfam family "5.8S ribosomal RNA". From Rfam's summary of the family: 5.8S ribosomal RNA (5.8S rRNA) is a component of the large subunit of the eukaryotic ribosome. It is transcribed by RNA polymerase I as part of the 45S precursor that also contains 18S and 28S rRNA. Functionally, it is thought that 5.8S rRNA may be involved in ribosome translocation. Lineage: Eukaryota; Fungi; Basidiomycota; Agaricomycetes; Polyporales; Fomitopsidaceae. The record is from RNAcentral.
ACAACUUUCAGCAACGGAUCUCUUGGCUCUCGCAUCGAUGAAGAACGCAGCGAAAUGCGAUAAGUAAUGUGAAUUGCAGAAUUCAGUGAAUCAUCGAAUCUUUGAACGCACCUUGCGCUCCUGGGUAUUCCUAGGAGCAUGCCUGUUUGAGUGUCAUGGAAU